UACGGAGGGUGCGAGCGUUAAUCGGAAUUACUGGGCGUAAAGCGUACGUAGGCGGUUGGGUAAGUCGGAUGUGAAAGCCCUGGGCUUAACCUGGGAACUGCAUUCGAUACUGCUCGGCUAGAGUAUGGGAGAGGGAAGCGGAAUUUCCGGUGUAGCGGUGAAAUGCGUAGAUAUCGGAAGGAACACCAAUGGCGAAGGCAGCUUCCUGGCCCAAUACUGACGCUCAGGUGCGAAAGCGUGGGGAUCAAACAGG
Molecule: ribosomal RNA, 253 nt
Filed under: uncultured bacterium
Lineage: Bacteria
Description: partial 16S ribosomal RNA
Rfam family: Bacterial small subunit ribosomal RNA
Source: RNAcentral